This 429-nucleotide ribosomal RNA is filed under the name Chloroflexota bacterium. RNAcentral describes it as "Chloroflexi bacterium partial 16S ribosomal RNA". It matches the Rfam family "Bacterial small subunit ribosomal RNA", at positions 355 to 776 of the family's 1533-position model. Lineage: Bacteria; Bacillati; Chloroflexota. The record is from RNAcentral.
UGGGGAAUAUUGCACAAUGGGCGCAAGCCUGAUGCAGCCAUGCCGCGUGUAUGAAGAAGGCCUUCGGGUUGUAAAGUACUUUCAGCGGGGAGGAAGGGAGUAAAGUUAAUACCUUUGCUCAUUGACGUUACCCGCAGAAGAAGCACCGGCUAACUCCGUGCCAGCAGCCGCGGUAAUACGGAGGGUGCAAGCGUUAAUCGGAAUUACUGGGCGUAAAGCGCACGCAGGCGGUCUGUCAAGUCGGAUGUGAAAUCCCCGGGCUAAACCUGGGAACUGCAUGCGAAACUGGCAGGCUAGAGUCUUGUAGAGGGGGGUAGAAUUCCAGGUGUAGCGGUGAAAUGCGUAGAGAUCUGGAGGAAUACCGGUGGCGAAGGCGGCCCCCUGGACAAAGACUGACGCUCAGGUGCGAAAGCGUGGGGAGCAAACAGG